RNA transcript from Nannospalax galili (Upper Galilee mountains blind mole rat), 390 nucleotides. It is a transcript of the gene named 60S ribosomal protein L34 pseudogene, with no coding region annotated. The record is from RefSeq and is a predicted model, not a curated record. Lineage: Eukaryota; Metazoa; Chordata; Mammalia; Rodentia; Spalacidae. The transcript has a single exon.
AUGGUCCAGCAUUUGACAUACCAUCAUAGGCUUUCCUACAACACAGCCUCUAACAAAAUUUGGCUGUCCCAAACCCCUGGUAACAGGAUUAUUUACCUUUAUACCAAGUUUGGGAAAUCACCAAAAACUGUGUGUGGUAUAAGCCCAGGCAGACUUCAAGGGGUUUCUGCUGUGAGACCUAAAGUCCUCAAGAGAUUGUCCGAAACAAAAAAACAUGUCAGCAGGGCCUAUGGUGGUUCUAUGUGUGCUAAAUGUGUUCGUGACAGGAUCAAGCGUGAUUUCCUUAUUGAGGAGCAGAAAAUCGUUGUGAAAGUGUUGAAGGCACAAGCACAGAGUCAGAAAGCGAAAUAACCAUGAGACUUUUUUAAGUAAUAAAAACCACAGCUUGUU